AUUGAACGCUGGCGGCAGGCCUAACACAUGCAAGUCGAGCGGUUGGAGGGAGCUUGCUCCUGGAUUCAACGGCGGACGGGCGAGUAAUGCCUAGGAAUCUGCCUGGUAUUGGGGGAUAACGUCCGGAAACGGGCGCUAAUACCGCAUACGUCCUGAGGGAGAAAGUGGGGGAUCUUCGGACCUCACGCUAUCAGAUGAGCCUAGGUCGGAUUAGCUAGUUGGUGGGGUAAAGGCCUACCAAGGCGACGAUCCGUAACUGGUCUGAGAGGAUGAUCAGUCACACUGGAACUGAGACGCGGUCCAGACUCCUACGGGAGGCAGCAGUGGGGAAUAUUGGACAAUGGGCGAAAGCCUGAUCCAGCCAUGCCGCGUGUGUGAAGAAGGUCUUCGGAUUGUAAAGCACUUUAAGUUGGGAGGAAGGGCAGUAAGUUAAUACCUUGCUGUUUUGACGUUACCAACAGAAUAAGCACCGGCUAACUUCGUG
Molecule: ribosomal RNA, 484 nt
Filed under: uncultured bacterium
Lineage: Bacteria
Description: partial 16S ribosomal RNA
Rfam family: Bacterial small subunit ribosomal RNA
Source: RNAcentral